RNAcentral lists this long non-coding RNA (2132 nucleotides) under Homo sapiens (human). RNAcentral describes it as "HSALNT0296809". Lineage: Eukaryota; Metazoa; Chordata; Mammalia; Primates; Hominidae. The record is from RNAcentral.
UGCCCACCUCUGCCUCCCAAAGUGCUGGGAUUACAGGUGUGAGCCACCGCACCCAGUCAGCUCACUUAAUUUUCAUGGAAUACAGUGGGCAUUAUGAUCCCAAUUUUACAAGUGAGAAAACUGAGAAGGAGAGAGGUCCCCAAAGUUGCCUAAAGUCACACAGUAAGUGGUAGAGUCAGGAUUCCAGCUGAAGUCUGCUUCCAAAUCCCACCUUCUAACCGCUGCCACUAGACUGCUGUGUCUGCUGGGGUGUUAGGUCACAGGAGAAAAGAGAUAAUGGCUUUGUGACCCGGGAGCUCCGCCUUCACCUCCUCCUGCCAUCCUCAGCAUGAGCCAGCUGCAUGAGGGGUGCUGUGUGCUGGGCUGGAGGAUGGAGCCAUGUGCCACUCCCUCCGAGGCACGCUGUGAAGGUGCAAGUGGUGUGUUCUGAGAGCUGGAGCUGAGGCUGAAGGCAGUUGAGGGCCACCAGGGAGAAGAGCUGGGUCAGGGCCGUGACUUGCCAGCAAGCAUGAGGCCAAGCAGAUGUGCCGGAACAGCUGUGGUGACAGAGCUGUGGCCAACUGCUCCCUGGGCCGAGGGUGAAGGAAGCUGUGCUCCCACUGGUGCUAGGGAAGGCUGCUGCAGGGCUGGAGGCCUGGGUGCUGGACUGCUGGGGCAGGCUGCCUGCUGUACCCCCAAGCUGCAGUCAGGGCUCGCCCUGAGGCCCUGAGGUGGAGAGAGAGCAGCUGUCUCGUACACACCCAUGUGCACAAGUGCAGGCACACACACACACACACACACACACACAAAAGACGUUCUCACUUCAUCCCCGAAUUCUCCCUCCUACACACAAAGCUAGUUCCCAGUUCUCCAGUCCCCCUCCAUCCCUCUCCACUUCUGUAGUCUCUGCUGGGCUGCACUGGGGAUCUGGUCCCAAUUCCCCUCUCUUCCCUUGCUGCCCCUGUAACAAAGGGCUGGCCAUGUGACAUGAUCUCCUCAGGCUUCAGAGAAGUGAUUUUACCCUGAGCUACACAGGCAGGAAGACCACCAGCCUGGAAGGGCCCUUCAGCCACUUUCCCAACAAACAGCAAAUCUCCGCCGAUUGAACUCUGACUGAGGCAAUGGGGGCAUGCCAGGCAACAAGGUGGAGGUUUGCUACCGUGGGAGCAGGGAGAGCGUGGAACACAGACGCUCUGGGUGUUGAAGAGGAGGCUUCACCCUUAAAUCCACACCAACAGCCCCCUUCACUUCCCCCGGUGAAGAACGAAGGACCCUGUGGGAUUUCUACUUCAAAUCUCUCAUUUAUUCCGACAUCCACUCGGUUAUGACUCCAAGUUAUCAAAGAUGCAAGACAAGAAGUCUAGAGCAGGAGUGGUGAAGUGGAGGUGGAGAAAGACGGCGGAGAGGGCUGUGUUCCUGGCCCCUCCUUCUCUUCCAAUUUAGGGCACCGUUUGAAAAGUGUACAAGUAGUGUCCCUUAGCACAGACUAGACAGCAGAAAAGGACAGUGCAGUUGAGUGGGGGAAGCUUCCUUUUCCACAGGGUGGGGCCCUGCGGCUGCAGCGGGCAGGCAGGCAAUCUCGAGCCUGGUUGGAGACCGUGCCCUGAGCAGCGUGGGCUAUGUGGGGAAGAGCUGGGGCCCACCAUCUCUCCAGCACCCCAAACCCAGAUUCUGAUUUGUGGGGCUAGCAGGGCUUAGCUAGGAAAGCGGUAGGAGGGAGGGGAUUGCACAGGACGCUUGUACUCAGGGACCCCAUCAAUCAGGGGCAAGAAGUGGGUGAUGGUUAACUGGGUCUUGAUUUUUACAAAGGCAGGACGUACGAAUGAUGUUAUUUCUGGCAAGGAGGACACGGCUGCUGUGGUUGAUUGGCUGUGGAAUUCCAGGGGAGCAAGGCACUAGGAAGUGGGGAACGCUGCCAGGCCCAGCAGCUCAUCAGGAGCUUGCACUUGGCCCAGUUAGGGCUGGCCGUGGGACGGGCUUGUUGAAGCUGCUGCCGCCAUAAGCUGCCCCUCUGCACCAGGAGACAGAUCCCAUUACCCCACCUACAGCUGCUUCCUGGUACAAGAGAAGAGUUACCAUUUGAAAUGACUCCACAGGAGAGUCUGACAAACAUGUUUGCUUUUCACUGACAAUUAAAAUUGUUUUGCUGCUAA